This 1231-nucleotide ribosomal RNA is filed under the name metagenome. Its description in RNAcentral is "bacterial LSU rRNA". It matches the Rfam family "Bacterial large subunit ribosomal RNA", at positions 1717 to 2925 of the family's 2925-position model. The record is from RNAcentral.
GCAAAAUGACACCGUAACUUCGGGAGAAGGUGUGCCCUCUGUACGUGAAGCCCCUUGCGGGUGGAGCGGAAGAGGGUUGCAGAGAAACGGGGGUAGCGACUGUUUACCAAAAACCCAGCACUGUGCGAAGUCGGAAGACGACGUAUACGGUGUGAUGCCUGCCCGGUGCCGGAAGGUUAAGGGGAGUUGUCAGCCGCAAGGCAAAGCAGCGAACCGAAGCCCCGGUAAACGGCGGCCGUAACAAUAACGGUCCUAAGGUAGCGAAAUUCCUUGUCGGGUAAGUUCCGACCUGCACGAAUGGCAUAACGACUUCCCCACUGUCUCGAGCAGGGACUCAGCGAAGUAGCACUAGGGGUGAAGAUACCCUUUACCCGCGGCAGGACGGAAAGACCCCGUGAACCUUUACUGUAACUUGGCACUGAACUUCGGGUUCGUUUGCGUAGGAUAGGUGGGACGCUAGGAAGCAUGGACUCCGGUCUGUGUGGAGCGGCCGUUGAAAUACCACCCUGACGAAUCUGGAGUUCUAACCUGCACCCGUGAGCCGGGUGGGGGACAAUGCCUGGUGGGCAGUUUGACUGGGGCGGUCGCCUCCCAAAGAGUAACGGAGGCGCGCGAAGGUUCCCUCAGGCUGAUUGGAAACCAGCCGACGAGUGUAAUGUCAUAAGGGAGCUUGACUGCGAGACUGACAAGUCGAGCAGGUGCGAAAGCAGGUCAUAGUGAUCCGGUGGUUCUGAAUGGAAGGGCCAUCGCUCAACGGAUAAAAGGUACUCCGGGGAUAACAGGCUUAUCACGCCCAAGAGUUCACAUCGACGGCGUGGUUUGGCACCUCGAUGUCGGCUCAUCGCAUCCUGGGGCUGAAGUUGGUCCCAAGGGUUUGGCUGUUCGCCAAUUAAAGCGGUACGCGAGCUGGGUUCAAAACGUCGUGAGACAGUUUGGUCCCUAUCCGCCGUGGGCGCAGGACGCUUGAGAGGAUCUGUCCUUAGUACGAGAGGACCGGGAUGGACGGACCGCUAGUGUUCCGGUUGUGGCGCCAGCUGCAAUGCCGGGUAGCUAUGUUCGGAAGGGAUAACCGCUGAAAGCAUCUAAGCGGGAAGCCCACCUCGAGAUAAGGCGUCCCUGAGACUUCGGUCUCCUGAAGACCCCAUGUAGACCACGUGGUUGAUAGGCUGGGUGUGGAAGCGCUGCAAGGCGCGGAGCUAACCAGUACUAAUCGGUCGUGAGGCUUGACCAC